Long non-coding RNA from Diorhabda sublineata, 2429 nucleotides. RefSeq lists it as uncharacterized. The record is from RefSeq and is a predicted model, not a curated record. The transcript is spliced from 2 exons. Lineage: Eukaryota; Metazoa; Arthropoda; Insecta; Coleoptera; Chrysomelidae.
ACUGUCAAUAACUGUCAUGUAUUUAGCCAUUCUAACCUCAAAACAAUAAUUCACUAUCAUUAUAACUAACUCCCCAUAGUGAUUAUUUGUUUAGAUAAUUCAAGAAAUUAAUUACAAAAAAAUGUGGUUAUAUUCAAGACGACGUUUCUAAAAAAAUAAAAAUUAACAUCAAGAAUAUGCUUUACAAGAUGAUUAGCUGGCGUACUAAGAUAUACAAAAGCAAAAUUAUUUACAUGAGACGUAGCAAUGAGGUGCUAUAGAGUGGCACCAACCUCGAUGGUAAUAAUCGAUUUAGUGAUAGACGUGUCGGUGAUGGUGGACAUUGUAUGAUACACUGCAGCAGUUUCGAUGCAGAUGAAACUUGAUCUUCUGGACUAUCUAUUUCUUCGUUAUAGAUAAGACGCAUUAAUUCCAAUCUUUGACUUCAGGAUGAACGAACGGAUUUAAAAAAAUAAAAAUUAUAAAGAAAACUAGGAGUUACGCCAACCAACUUAUUCUAUGGUAACUAUUUGCCCCCAUUAUUAUCAACGCCCAAGAACCACAAGAGAAACUCCAACUAGAUAGCAGCCAAAGACGGUUAAACAUUGUUUCCAUGCAGUAAUCACUGUCAAAUGAAAAGCCCCAGGAAUUGACAAUAUUUGAAACUUCUGGUAGAAGAACACAAGAAGUUAGCAAAACAAUUUACACAACUCAGAAGAUAUUCCAACGUUUCUAGCACUGGGAUUUAGUCAUAUGCUCCCAAAGAGUAUCGGGAGUGAUGACCCCUACCCAGUCACACUACCAUUUAUCACAAUUCCACCGGCAGAGGAGUAAUUCCUAUAACAGUGCCAAACCCAAUGAAUCCUCAACAUAAAAAAUUUCCUCAGCAUAUCAAAAAAAAGCCCAAGGAACCUCUCUCUUUUUGUUUUUGUAUCACUAACAGAGCUUAUAGGCAAGUUAAAGAAAAUAACAUCUUAGCAGAGGAUCGGAAAGGUUGCAGAUCACCCAACAAGCUCAAAAGUGGGGUACAAGAAAGCGUUUGUUUUUUAAAUUGUAUUUUUUUAUUGCAUUAUGCCUUGAAUGUUCAAUUUCGAAAUUAGGAUUUCUAAUAACCUCACAUUUUACGAUUUCUCAUAACCUAACCUCAAAUUUUACUUGAGUAUUUACAAUUUGAAUAAACCACACUUUAAAAUAUAAUAUUUCAGUAAAAACCCUUAGGUUUACCUUCGUAAUAUCAGCAAAUAGCAAGAGUAACUAAAUAAGAAGUGAAAAUGUUAUAAAUUAAGCGAUUACCUUCGUGUACUUCUAUUCCUUCUUGUUUCAAAAGCUCCCGGAGUUUCUGUAUUUCUUCUUUGAGUUCUCUAAUAAGUUUAGCGUUGGCAUCUUCAUUGACAAUAGCCUUACAUACGAUCUGUUUGGCUCUAUCGGCAUAUCUGUAAAUUAUUUUGGAAAGAAUAUUGAAUAUUAAAUAGCACAGCAAAAAAAUAAUAAAAAACGGAUGACAGAAUGGCACAAGCUGUCCCGAGACGGUAUGGAUGGAGUAGGAGACGACGAAAUUUAUUAAACAUUAACCCUAAGAUGAGUAUCAGAAUGAUACUGAUAAAUUGAGCAUUCUCAAACACAAGUUCUUGACAGAAGCUAUGAGACUAGUGUGCUUGAAGUUGAUGCCACGAGUAUCGUUAGAUAAGCACAAGACCAACCGAUCUGUCAGGAACUUCUUGGUCUAACCAGACUUUUUUUUAUUCCCGAGAAUAAAAUCGAUGCUCGAGGAGAAGUAGCACGGCUCAGUUGAGGUGACAUGGGAACUGAGCAGCAAGUAUGUACUCAUCUAACCAAACAUUGCGCAAAGAUCUUGGGAUAAAAUUUAUGAGAGAUGUGAUUAAAAUCCUGAGUACAAAACAGGAUAGAAAAUCACCCAAAUGUUCUAUUACAACCACUACUUGAACCAAACAUCACUUGAAGACUUCAAAAGAGGUGGCCAGCUGACUUAAUGAAAAAAAUCAACUCAAAACAAGUGGAAGUUGUGUGAAUCCAUCAAUUUAUGCAAUCUUAUCACCCCUACAAAUGGUAGUAUAUAAAUUAAGGCUCUUCUGGUAACCAUUUUGAACUAAUUUGAUUAUUUUACAAUUUAAUGCUCUUCUGAUAACCAUUUUGGGUUAAUUUCAUUACUUUAUGAACUAAAGCUUUUCUGUUAAUCUUUUUGGACUAAUUUCAUUAUUUUAUAAAUGAAGGCUCUUCUGAUAAACUUUUUGAACUAAUUACAUUACUUCAUUUAAUUAAUUAGGCUUUUUUGUUAAUAUUUUGAACUAUUUUCAUUACUUUAUAAAUCAAGGCUUUUCUGAUAACCUUUUUUAACUAUUUACAUUACUCUAUGAACUAAGGCUCUUCUGCUAAUUUUUGUGGACUAAUUUCAUUUCUUUAUACAAUAAAUACACUCUAAAAAUUGUAAA